Molecule: unclassified non-coding RNA, 230 nt
Filed under: Hevea brasiliensis (rubber tree)
Lineage: Eukaryota; Viridiplantae; Streptophyta; Magnoliopsida; Malpighiales; Euphorbiaceae
Source: RNAcentral
CUGGUAGUUCAGAUAAUAGGCGUGCUCCCAGACAUCGUUGCCCAUCAGCACGCGCUUGCCGUCCAUGAUCGGAGAAUCCUGGUUAGGGCGCGUCUCGAUGGCAAGCUUGCCGUCCUUCGCGACCGUGACAAACACCCAGCCGGAGCCGAACUGGCGUCCNCGGCGGCGUUGAAAUCGGUCUGGAAUUUCUCCAUGCCGCCAAGAUCCUUGUCGAUCGCGGCAAGCCCUUC